UACGUAGGGUGCAAGCGUUAAUCGGAAUUACUGGGCGUAAAGCGUGCGCAGGCGGUGUUGUAAGACAGAUGUGAAAUCCCCGGGCUCAACCUGGGAACUGCAUUUGGGACUGCAUCGCUGGAGUGCGGCAGAGGGGGAUGGAAUUCCGCGUGUAGCAGUGAAAUGCGUAGAUAUGCGGAGGAACACCGAUGGCGAAGGCAAUCCCCUGGGCCUGCACUGACGCUCAUGCACGAAAGCGUGGGGAGCAAACAGG
RNAcentral lists this ribosomal RNA (253 nucleotides) under uncultured bacterium. RNAcentral's name for it is "partial 16S ribosomal RNA". It matches the Rfam family "Bacterial small subunit ribosomal RNA", at positions 524 to 776 of the family's 1533-position model. The record is from RNAcentral.